UUUUCAUUUCGUUGAUUCUGUGGUACAACUUUCAAAUCCUUAUAGAGUUUCAUUUCCUAUGUACUAGGUGCAAACAGCAGUUAAUGGCCUCCGCCAGAGUGCAGCCACUAGAACUAAUCGAUUACAACAGGAGAUGUCGACAAUGCAAGUUGCAACUGCAUCUGUUGAAGCAGAAUGGACAAAUUACAUGGAGCAGGCUGAAUCCCAGUAUAUUGAGGAUAAUGGUGCUGUGGAAAGUGGGAAAAAGGAAAUGGAAGUGGUUCUUCAGAACUGGUAUCGGUUGCUGCCUAUGUUUCUUUUAUGCAUUAUCAACUUGCUAUGGCUGUUGAAGUCUGAAUUCUCCCCUAAGUGUCUCUCGUGAAAUUAAUUUACUUUUGCAGCUUGCAAAAGGCAAAAUUGGGUGCACAACAGUGGAGUGAUGCCCAAGAAUCCUUGUUCAAUUUAGAGAAGAGGAACGUGGAUUCUGCCGAUAGCAUAGUGAGGUUAAUACCCAACAAGGUGCUUCUCUAGUUUUUGAAAAUGAUUAUGAAUACUCACUUCAAGUAACCUUUUGUAUUUCCCAUAGGCGAGGAAUGGAUGCCAAUCAAUCCUUACGUGCACGCUUUUCUUCAGCCGUGUCAUCCGCCCUUGAAGAUGCUGAUGUCGCAAGCAGGAAUCUCCUUUCUUCUAUUGACCGUAAGUCAUCCCAUGAAUUACAUAUGACAAUCGAAACUAUUUAAGCAUUGGUAUAUAAUCUUGUUUUCCAAAAGGGCUCAUAAUUUUACUGAACAAAUCCUUGCAGAUUCACUGCAACUUGACAACGACGCAUGUGGUAAUCUUGAUUCACUGAUUGUUCCUUGCUGCGGUGAGCUGAGGGAACUGAAGUGUGGACAUCACCACAAAAUUGCGGAAAUCACAGAAAAUGCAGGAAAAUGUCUUCUAGAAGAAUA
This 929-nucleotide long non-coding RNA is filed under the name Coffea arabica (coffee). RNAcentral describes it as "long non-coding RNA (CARA_LNC000749)". The record is from RNAcentral. Lineage: Eukaryota; Viridiplantae; Streptophyta; Magnoliopsida; Gentianales; Rubiaceae.